This 339-nucleotide ribosomal RNA is filed under the name uncultured bacterium. Its description in RNAcentral is "bacterial SSU rRNA". It matches the Rfam family "Bacterial small subunit ribosomal RNA", at positions 29 to 368 of the family's 1533-position model. The record is from RNAcentral.
AACGAACGCUGGCGGCGCGCCUAAUACAUGCAAGUCGAGCGAGAAGACGUAGCAAUACGUUUGUAAAGCGGCGAACGGGUGAGGAAUACAUGGGUAACCUACCCUCAGCUCUGGGAUAAGCCUGGGAAACCGGGUCUAAUACUGGAUAUGACUCCAUGACGCAUGUUGUGGGGUGGAAAGCCUUGUGCGGCUGAGGAUGGGCCCGCGGCCUAUCAGCUUGUUGGUGGGGGAUGGCCUACCAAGGCGACGACGGGUAGCCGGCCUGAGAGGGCGACCGGCCACACUGGGACUGAGACACUGCCCGGACAUCUACGGAUGGCUGCAGUAACGAAUAUUCCG